Non-coding RNA from Pelobates cultripes (western spadefoot toad), 291 nucleotides. Lineage: Eukaryota; Metazoa; Chordata; Amphibia; Anura; Pelobatidae. The record is from the annotation of a GenBank genome assembly.
GGGGACUGUCUGUGUCUCUCUCCCCGUGGCUUUAUACUGGAGGGGACUGUGUGUCUCUCUCCCCGUGGCUUUAUACUGGAGGGGACUGUCUGUGUCUCUCUCCCCGUGGCUUUAUACUGGAGGGGACUGUCUGUGUCUCUCUCCCCGUGGCUUUAUACUGGAGGGGACUGUCUGUGUCUCUCUCCCCGUGGCUUUAUACUGGAGGGGACUGUCUGUGUCUCUCUCCCCGUGGCUUUAUACUGGAGGGGACUGUCUGUGUCUCUCUCCCCGUGGCUUUAUACUGGAGGGGAC